Molecule: ribosomal RNA, 635 nt
Filed under: uncultured bacterium
Lineage: Bacteria
Description: bacterial SSU rRNA
Rfam family: Bacterial small subunit ribosomal RNA
Source: RNAcentral
CACGGCGCACGGGUGAGUAACACGUGGGCAACCUGCCCUCCAAAGGGGGAUAACCCGCCGAAAGGCGGGCUAAUACCGCAUGACAUUCCGGUGGCUUCGGCCGCCGGAAUCAAACCGUUGGGGGAGGGGCCCGCGCCCGAUUAGCUAGUUGGCGAGGUAACGGCUCACCAAGGCAUUGAUCGGUAGCCGGUCUGAGAGGAUGGCCGGCCACACUGGAACUGAGACACGGUCCAGACUCCUACGGGAGGCAGCAGUGGGGAAUCUUGCGCAAUGGGCGAAAGCCUGACGCAGCGACGCCGCGUGGGGGAUGAAGCAUCUCGGUGUGUAAACCCCUUUCGACCCGGAAGAAUGUCCCGCAAGGGAUUGACGGUACGGGUAUAAGAAGCCCCGGCUAACUACGUGCCAGCAGCCGCGGUAAGACGUAGGGGGCCAGCGUUGCUCGGAAUUACUGGGCGUAAAGGGUUCGUAGGCGGUGCGGCAAGUCGGAAGUGAAAUCUCCAGGCUCAACUUGGAGGCUGCUCCCGAAACUGCCGUGCUAGAGUGCGGGAGAGGCCAGUGGAAUUGCAGGUGUAGCGGUGAAAUGCGUAGAUAUCUGCAGGAACACCCGUGGCGAAGGCGGCUGGCUGGACCGCAAC